GACUAUGGUGCGGGCAUUCUCUAUGCAAAUCCUUGAAUCUUUCCCAAACUUCAAACAAGCUCUCAUCUUCUUGUUGUGUAAUAGAAAUGAUCUAGCUUCCCAGAC
Molecule: non-coding RNA, 105 nt
Organism: Spinacia oleracea (spinach)
Lineage: Eukaryota; Viridiplantae; Streptophyta; Magnoliopsida; Caryophyllales; Amaranthaceae
Source: Rfam